Molecule: long non-coding RNA, 932 nt
Organism: Gallus gallus (chicken)
Lineage: Eukaryota; Metazoa; Chordata; Aves; Galliformes; Phasianidae
Exons: 3
Source: RefSeq, a predicted model, not a curated record
UGCUCAUCUCAUCAGCAAGAGGCAGCUCUCUUGUGUAGUGAGCUCAGUGUGCAUCACUAACAUCCAGAGUAUUUGCAUUUGUUCUGUAAAUCUCACUGUUGAAGGCUGGGCAGAAAAUGGUAGACUAUGUGACAGCUAGCAAGUCUGAUUUAUUCCAUUUCUGCCAAAAUGCUGUGCAAAUGGGGAUCAGCCUGUCAGCCACUGCAGGAUAUAAACCAUUUACAGUCUACUCUUUUUCCUGCUAAUCACAAUGACGCGCAUUCACAAUCAAGCUGUGUACCAAGCUGUGUCAUCACACGCAUUCCCAGGCUGUGCACCAUAGAUUUCAACAGUGAACUUUUCAGCUUUCUAUUAUAUAAAUAUGUUACAGAAGAGAGAGUACCCUUGAGACCUGUGAACUGCUCAGCGAUUACUUCUUUUCAUUUUCAGACUUGUGUGUGUGCCUACAUCUGCUUUGCCCUCCGAUGCUGCAUCCACCACCAUGCUUUACUGCUUUCUUCUCCCUGGCAUUUUAUUAAGAAACUUUUCUGAGAGUACACUGGAUCUUCCCUUCCAAUUUGUUUAGCUGUCAUCACAUCACCAUGCCUGACUGCUCUGCUGAAUUCUUACAGAAUUCUGAGGUCAAAUAAUAACCAGGUUAGCUAAGGUUGAGACUGUUCAGAGGCUGAUUGGUCAAAUAUACAGUUAAUAGAUAUAGAAAAUAAAUGAAAAAGAAAAAGAAAAGAGAAAAUGAGAAGAAGACAUUAGAGAGAAAAGAAGAAAUAAAAGAAAAAAGAAAAUAUGUUUAGAGUACACUUUCUUUCAUCAGUUUCAGGAUCCUCCCCAGGAUUUUUCCUAAUCAUUUUUUUAUAAAAAAGAAAACGUUUUCUCAGAUACUUCCACCAAAAGUAGCAGCAGCAGCUUGCAUUUUCAACUUGAAGUACUAACACUGU